RNAcentral lists this ribosomal RNA (529 nucleotides) under uncultured bacterium. RNAcentral describes it as "partial 16S ribosomal RNA". The record is from RNAcentral.
GGAGUUAGCCGGUGCUUCUUCUGUGAGUGAUGUCCUUCCUGCCGGCUAUUAACCCGCAGGCCUUCUUCCUCACUGAAAGUGCUUUACAACCCGAAGGCCUUCUUCACACACGCGGCAUGGCUGGAUCAGGGUUGCCCCCAUUGUCCAAUAUUCCCCACUGCUGCCUCCCGUAGGAGUCUGGGCCGUGUCUCAGUCCCAGUGUGGCUGAUCAUCCUCUCAGACCAGCUACGGAUCGUCGCCUUGGUGAGCCGUUACCUCACCAACCAGCUAAUCCGACAUAGGCUCAUCCGAUAGCGCGAGGCCCGAAGGUCCCCCGCUUUCCCCCGUAGGGCGUAUGCGGUAUUAGCCUGGGUUUCCCCAGGUUAUCCCCCACUACCGGGCAGAUUCCUAUGCAUUACUCACCCGUCCGCCGCUCGCCACCAGGGAGCAAGCUCCCCGUGCUGCCGCUCGACUUGCAUGUGUUAGGCCUGCCGCCAGCGUUCAAUCUGAGCCAGUANACACACUCGACAGAGCGGCGGCGCGACGACGC